This 200-nucleotide ribosomal RNA is filed under the name uncultured bacterium. RNAcentral describes it as "partial 16S ribosomal RNA". It matches the Rfam family "Bacterial small subunit ribosomal RNA", at positions 8 to 208 of the family's 1533-position model. The record is from RNAcentral.
AGAGUUUGAUCCUGGCUCAGGAUGAACGUUAGUAGUAUGACUAACACAUGCAAGUCGAACGGCGAAAGGUGUAGUCAAAAAGGAGAAAUCUGAGUAAGAUUGCAUUAAGUAGCAGUGGCGAACGAGUGAAUAAUACUUAUCUUACCUACCAUUCAGUGGAGGACAAAAUACUGCAUAUUCUGGUUUCGGCCAGGAAAGGA